ACUCCUACGGGAGGCAGCAGUGGGGAAUAUUGCACAAUGGGCGCAAGCCUGAUGCAGCCAUGCCGCGUGUAUGAAGAAGGCCUUCGGGUUGUAAAGUACUUUCAGCAGUGAGGAAGGCGGGUACGUUAAUAGCGUACUUGUUUGUACGUUAGCUGCAGAAGAAGCACCGGCUAACUCCGUGCCAGCAGCCGCGGUAAUACGGAGGGUGCGAGCGUUAAUCGGAAUUACUGGGCGUAAAGCGCAUGCAGGUGGUUUGUUAAGUCAGAUGUGAAAGCCCGGGGCUCAACCUCGGAAUUGCAUUUGAAACUGGCAGACUAGAGUACUGUAGAGGGGGGUAGAAUUUCAGGUGUAGCGGUGAAAUGCGUAGAGAUCUGAAGGAUACCGGUGGCGAAGGCGGCCCCCUGGACAGAUACUGACACUCAGAUGCGAAAGCGU
This 435-nucleotide ribosomal RNA is filed under the name uncultured bacterium. RNAcentral describes it as "bacterial SSU rRNA". It matches the Rfam family "Bacterial small subunit ribosomal RNA", at positions 335 to 762 of the family's 1533-position model. The record is from RNAcentral.